Molecule: ribosomal RNA, 2246 nt
Filed under: Tetra sp. GZ24
Lineage: Eukaryota; Metazoa; Arthropoda; Arachnida; Trombidiformes; Eriophyidae
Description: partial small subunit ribosomal RNA
Rfam family: Eukaryotic small subunit ribosomal RNA
Source: RNAcentral
UGUAAAGUUCAAGCUCCGAUUAUGAGGGCGAAACCGCGAAUGGCUCAUUAAAUCAGUCAUAAUCUACUUGAUUGUUUAAAAGUUAUAUGGAUAACUGUGGUAAUUCUAGAGCUAAUACAUGCACAAAAGGGGCGAUUUCUUGUGGCAACAUGAGAAAAAGCUCUGCGUUUAUUAGUAUAAGACCAAUGAUUUGAGCAAUCAAAUCUUUUUAUAUGGUGACUCUGAGUAAAUAAUGGCUGUAAGGCCAUGAUGCCGACCUGGCAUACCAAAUCGGGGUUAAACCCGAGCCAGGCAAAUCAAUCGAGUGUCUGCUCUAUCAACUGUGGAUGGUAGGGUAAUUGCCUACCAUGGUGAUGACGGGUAACGGGGAGUUAGGGCUCGACUCCGGAGAACAAGCCUGAGAAACGGCUAGUAGGACUAAGGUCUGCAGCAGGCGCGAAACUUACACAAUGCUAGAUUUAAAAUAACUUAGCGAUGUAGUGAAGAUUUAUAACGAUGCCGCGAUUAUAUAUUAAUCGCGGCAAUUGGAAUGAGGCGACUUUAGCUCAGUUAGCCGAGUAACAAAUGGAGGGCAAGUCUGGUGCCAGCAGCCGCGGUAAUUCCAGCUCCAUUAGCAUACAUUAAAGUUGUUGCGGUUAAAAAGCUCGUAGUUGAAUUUCUGGCAGGCUCUAUUGGGUGGCAGCCGUAAAGGGUUCUUUCUUCGGAUCGAACCUGGAUGUCUUACUCCAUUAGGAACCUGUCGUUUCGUCACUUAAUCGAGUGCGAAGCGGGGUGUGGCUUUUAGAUCUUGUAUCUAUUAAGUUCGCACCAUGUUUACCUUGAGAAAAUUAGAGUGCUCAGAGCAGGCAGUUGGGGUGUAAAAACCUCUUUAUGCUUGAAUAAUGUUGCAUGGAAUAAUAGAAUACGGCCUCGGUUCUAUUCUGUUGGUCUUAUAGAACAACCAAGAAAGUUAAAUGCGGCAUCAAACGGUUAGUAUAAAUUGUGGUAUUAGGCUCUGAUACUCAGUUGCAUGUUGUCUAGGACCUAAAAAUCUUAGUACCAUUAGCUAGUAUUAUCCCUAAUGCCAUCAAAGCAAUUUAUAAUGACUGGCCAUCAUUUAAUUGAGGCAAUGGUUAAAAGAAAUAGUCGCGGCGGCAUCAGUACUGCAUCGUGAGAGGUGAAAUUCUUAGACCGAUGCAAGACUAACUGAAGCGAAAGCGUUUGCCGAGGAUAUUUUCAUUAAUCAAGAACGAAAGUUAGAGGUUCGAAGGCGAUCAGAUACCGCCCUAGUUCUAACCAUAAACGUUGCCAACUAGCAAUUGGGUUGCGAUUCCUUUAGUUGAGGACGUAAAACUCCUCAACCAUUAUGAUCCACCCAGCGGCUCUCGUAGGGAAACCAAAGUGUUUGGGUUCCGGGGGAAGUAUGAUUGCAAAGUUGAAACUUAAAGGAAUUGACGGAAGGGCACCACCAGGAGUGGAGCCUGCGGCUUAAUUUGACUCAACACGGGGAAACUUACUAGAUUAGAACUCUGGAAUGAUUGACAGAUUGAUAGCUCUUUCUUGAUUCAGAGGAUGGUGGUGCAUGGCCGUUCUUGAUUCGUAUUCCGAAACGUCUGCUUAAUUGCGAUAACGAGUGAGACCUCUUCCAACUAACUAGUUACUUGGUGCGCUGUGGGACACCAAAGUUUGCAUUAGACCAUCUAGUCGUAGGGGUAAAACCUGAAAGCUAGACCUGAUGUAAAUGUCCUCUGCUCGCCGGUAGACUUCUUAGAGGGAUAAACGGUGUUUUAGCCGUAAGAAACGAGGCAAUAACAGGUCUGUGAUGCCCUUAGAUAUUCUAGGCCGCACGCGUGCUACAAUGGCGUGUGCAGAAAGCUUAUUCGAGGUUCGUCCUUGGAGAACUAGCUGUUUGGUGCGUAUGGGGGUAACUUCGUACGUAUCGGCAGAAAAGUGACCAGGUGCUACGAGCCGAGAGAAACCGGGUUCGAAAGAAUUCGGCAAUCAUAAAUACACGCCGUGAUUUGGGAUUGGGGAUUGCAAUUGUUGCCCAUGAACGAGGAAUUCCCAGUAAGCGCAAUUCAUCAUAUUGCGUUGAUUACGUCCCUGCCCUUUGUACACACCGCCCGUCGCUACUACCGAUUGGAAGUUUUAGUGAGGCAUCUGGACCUGCUAGCCAUGUCUUGGGGGCAACCCUAAGCGAGGAUAAGCGGGGAAGUUUGUCGAACUCAAAUUUCUAGAGGAAGUAAAAGUCGUAACAAGGUUUCCGU